Molecule: unclassified non-coding RNA, 250 nt
Filed under: Hevea brasiliensis (rubber tree)
Lineage: Eukaryota; Viridiplantae; Streptophyta; Magnoliopsida; Malpighiales; Euphorbiaceae
Source: RNAcentral
AUUGUGAUGUACAUCAUUUUUCUCUUGAAGAUUGCAUCUCUCCAAGUUUAUCUGCCGUUUUUAGAAAUUUGUUUAACCAUUCCUUUUAAAACUGAGGAUUGUUUCCAUCUGGAUGUUGGGUGUGGAAUGGCAUGAUAGUCUGUUUCACCCCUGCUGCGGCUCCAAAGGGAAACAAAGGUGCAAAUUACUUGCUAACAACUUUCUUAAGUAAUUUUGGUUAUUAUGGUUAGUCAAUGGCUUUACACUUGAA